This is a non-coding RNA of Heterocephalus glaber (naked mole-rat), 1809 nucleotides long. The record is from RefSeq and is a predicted model, not a curated record. NCBI's taxonomy places the organism in Eukaryota, Metazoa, Chordata, Mammalia, Rodentia, Bathyergidae.
GAGAUUUCUGGAAGUCUGGGUGGAAGGGGGAGUAUUUUCAGCGUACAAAAAUAAGAUGGCUUCCACAAUGAAAGUGUAUCGUAUCAUUACGAAAAGAAGACUCUGUAGUGAUGACAAGGCAAACAGAUGCACCUGGAGGUAGCUCUUGGUGAAUGAGCUUAAAUCCAGGCUGUGGACUCUGUUCCUGUAUUUCCUGAUCUUGUCCUCAUGUUUUCUGCCGCCACCAGGACCACCGAGAUUUCUGCCUUCAUUCUAUGUUCUCUACUGUCACUGAGGCUGGGGAGAAUGAGUAAGGAAUGGAGCAAAAACAGGAGAGAGGCAGAAGUAGCCCCUGAAGGACCAGUUACUGUUCUAUGAUGUCUUCCCUUGGAGAGGUUGGAGAGAAGGAAGAAAAAUCAUCACCCUGUUUCCUCUUGGUCAAUGUGCUGCCAUUUCCCAAUUUCUCUCUGUGAACAGCCUCAUGGACUAACCAAUCCCUGUGACCCCACACCUGGGUGUCAUGGCCCAAAGGACUUCAACUGUCCACCAUCAUCUUCUUCAACAUGAGGUGCUGUUGAAUGAGUAUCCGUAAGAUACAAUAUUGGGAAAUUUGAAAAGGAUCAUUUUUUAAAUGGGAUGGUACUGAUUAUGCUGUGGGGAGAGCAAGAAUUGAAAUCUCAUUCUCAUCAUGUCACUCAUCUGAAGAGGAUCUUAGUCUCUGUAGGGCUGUGAUCCCCUGUGAAAUGGGACUUGCUAUGCCUUCUUCAUUGAUGUCUGAGGAUCAAUGAGAAAAAGUAUAACAUGCCCAUAGGAUAUAGCAGAUUGCGCUUUAAGACACAUCAAUGGUGGCCCCAAUGCCUCUUGCCUCCCAGGUGGAGGUGACACUGUCCUACACCCAAGAGCAUAACAUCAUUUCCUACUACUCUUUUGCUUUCCUGUCCCCCUAGUUUACCAUCUAGUGUGACACUGGAGGAGUAGUUUCCCAUUGAUUCUGAGGUAGAAAGGAUAGUAUGGUGUAACACAAGAUGUAGGUUAGACAAAAGCCUGGACAUAUUCAUGACUACAGAAACUUGGGUGAGUCAUUUCUCCUAUGCUGGCCUCACCCUAGAACAAUAAUGCCUUAUAACAGUGGCCUGAGUUCUACGGGAAGAAAACAGUUUAAAUCUGGACCACUGAAGUUUGAGUGAUUUUUGUUUAUUUUUCUUAUCUGAAUCUGUGUUGGACACAAUUCGAAGCAGUCAUCUAAUGGCAUGCUUAAUUCUAAGAUGACAUCUAGUGGCACUCACAUGUGAGUAACUCCCACCCCUGUGAGUGUAGGGAGAACCUAUGAAUAUGAGAUAUCACAUCCAUAGUUAUAUUCUCUUAUACAGCAAAAAGGAGACUAUCUGUAUAGGCCUGACCCAACAAGUCAAGCCCUUUAAAAGCACAGUUUUCUCUGGCUGUUCAAAGGAGAGGAAGUCAGAGAUUCAAAGCACCAGAAACAUUAACACACCAUUGCUAACUGGAAGAUGAAGGAGGUCACAUGGCUGGGAAUUGGACUAGUACUUAGGAGCUGAAAGCACCUCUAGAUGACAACCAUCAAGGGAAUAGGGACUUCCAUGAAUAGUCAUGAGGAAACAACGAGAAGAAUGUGCCACCAAUAAGAAUGAUCUUGGAGGUAUAUUUCCCCCCAGUGACCUCAGUUGAGCCUAUACUGACACUUGAAUUCCAGCCUUGUGAGACUCUGAGCAGAGAAUAAGGUCAUUCCCUGCCAGACUUCUGACAUGUAGAUCUGUGAGCUAAAGAAUGGGUGUAGACAUGUGUCAAUACAUACAUGGUCACACAGCUGCA